This is a long non-coding RNA of Thalassophryne amazonica, 1905 nucleotides long. RefSeq lists it as uncharacterized. Lineage: Eukaryota; Metazoa; Chordata; Actinopteri; Batrachoidiformes; Batrachoididae. The transcript is spliced from 3 exons. The record is from RefSeq and is a predicted model, not a curated record.
UGGAUGACGAAAACAUUGCACAUGGGGAAAAGCCAAAGAAACCUGCCUUGUAAUCUCUCAAUGCUCUUUGCCCACGGAGUGGGACUGGGUGCAAUACGCCCUGCACAUUCUGAUUUUUGCUGUCAUUAUUUGACAGAAACCCUAGAAAUGUAUGCAAUGCUUAAAAAAAUUCAUAUUUUUUUUCUCAGGAGAUAUUAUAGAUGUACUAUUAUGAGCUGUGCAACAAAAUGCAAAUGAAUGUGAUGGGAGAAUUUAUGAGAUAAUCUUUUCCUCUUUGCCAUUUUAUGCCAUGUUGAUGGACAAUGAUUUUGCCUGGUUGUCAUGUUGGGGCAGCCAUCUGGUUCAGGGCCAGUUUAAAGCUUCCUGCUUUGUCACUUAGAAUUAUAGGGCUAGAAGCACCUCAGUGAAACAAUAACAUUUCACUCAAUUGUAAGGCCAGUGUUUAUAUUGACAGGGGAUUGCAUUUAUGGUUAACUCAUUAUGGACUCUAGUUUGAUCUCAUUUAAUUUGGACAAAAAAUAAUCUUCACCCCAAUAACAAUCACAAAAAACAGGAAACACUGUGAGGAGUUGUCAUGAGAGUGAAUUGGAGAAGUGGCAUGCUCAGUGGAUACAGUCCAGAUUUCAGUAUUGAGUAACACGCUUGCAGCUUCUUGUUUAAUCUUUGUCUCCAUGUUGCUACACUGCAAAACAAAUACCAAAUACAAACAGUGCACUGGAUGCAUUCUUAUUAUGGUACUGUGAGCCUACACACCACACCACAGCUUUUUUACUUACUGUUGUGCAGUGAUGUCACUUAUGAAUAACUCCCUCAUCCUUUUUCUGGUCUAGUUGCUGCAUGAGAAAUUCAAAAUCAGUAUGGGUGUUAACGUGAACCAAAUAAAACUCUGAAUGAUGAGCAUAAAAAGCUACUGCCGUCCAUUUUCUCCACCAAGGAUAUUCAGAUAUAUACUGUAGAGAAAACCUUUUAAAAAAGUAAUUAAAAAAAAAUCACAUUUUGAUUUGGAAAGAAAUGCAAUUCAAGCUUUUUUAUAUGUGGCACAUCUUGCAAAAUCUAAGAAUGGACUUGUAAAGGAACUACAAAUACUGUAAUAUAUUAAUUUUAACAGCAUGUGUAGUUUUUUGUAAAUACAGGAUUACUUUAAAACUACAGCUAUUAAUCUAACACUAAAUAUUAUUAAUAAAUAGAAUGGCUUCAAGCUCACACCCCUUGUCACACACGAUAGGCUGUGACACAUUUAUAAUAUGGAGUAGAUUUUUCAGUCAAAUUUCACACAACAGAAGAAAGAAGUACCUUAAAGGACAAUAUUAAGCUGUUUAAAAAUUGUACAAAUCACUCUACACAUGCAGAGCUAUAUAAUGUAUAUAUUAUAUAUAUUCUACUGCAUAUAUAGGAUAUAUACAUGAGGAAAAAUGUAUGCAGCUCAACUUUGCACUCCUUACAAUGAGGUGAAACCACAGCGUGUAACUGAUCAUGCUUCUUUCUUUGGUGUGUUCAGAGAAUUAUCCAAACUCUGUUCUGCCCAGGAUUUCUGCGUGCUAGGUAGCAGCGUACAAAGCAUGGCGUCGUACUGGCUGCUUGCUGAAAAUUUUGGCGCCUGCCUUGGUGAGAGGAUUGCACUACCAGCGUACCCUUUUGUACACAUGCCAGUGUGUUGCCCCAUAUUUGUUAUAUACACACAUACACACAGUCAGUUGUGCACGUGUAAAGCCUUUAGCAGGUGAAUGCUGGCUCACUAUUGUGCUCCAAUACGAGCCACAGAUAACUUCUACUUAUUUGCUUCUUUUAGCUCUGAUGUGCUUCUGUGUUUCACCUUAACACUGCUGCAGUUUGGGGCUGUGUAAUUCUGUGCGUGUGUGUGUGUGUGUGUGUGUGUGUGUGUGUGUGUGUGUGUGUGUGUGUGUG